AUCCUACCACUCCCCGUCAUGGGGAUCAGAGUCAAACUCGUAUCUUCUUUCUUUGAGAAACAAACAAUGGCGGCCGGCGAUAUUUGUGCAUGUGGCUGCGCUACGUGACAACUAAUCAUAAAUUAUCUCCUUGGCGUCAACAAUGGCGGGUCACCCGAAAGGGACCUUGCCCGAAUGGUCCAAGCCGCGGACAGUUUCCACUUGCCACUCGCUCACUCUCUUGUUGACUCCCUGCUCACCGGAGACCGAGGAGCUCACUCGCUGGCAAAUGAAGAUAGGACGGCAACCUGCAGCCAAGUCAGGGGCGGCGGGUAGGGAGGGGAGCUAGAGCUAGAGACGGUCGAUGGCCGUGUCACGCUCCGGCGCGGCGGGCGUGGCCGCCGGCGGCGACACGACCGACGACGCCGACCGAGCGCGGCUGCACCAGCUCGGCUACAAGCAGGAGCUCAAGCGCGGCCUCUCGUACGCUGCUCUGCUUCACCAUCGUAUCAUCGGCGUUUGUGCGCAGCUCUAUCGUUGGAUUGAUUCUGGUGCUUUUCUUGGGCUCUGCGCAGCCUCAUGUCCAACUUCGCCUUCUCCUUCUCCAUCAUCUCCGUCAUGGCCGGCGUCACCACGACCUACAACGGCGGGCUGCGCUACGGCGGGCCGGCGUCCAUGACGCUCGGGUGGCUGGUGGUGGCGGCCUUCAACGGCUGCGUCGCGCUGUCCAUGGCGGAGAUCUGCUCCGCCUACCCGACCUCCGGCGGGCUCUACUACUGGAGCGCCAAGCUCGCCGGCAAGGAGUGGGCGCCCCUCGCCUCCUGGGUCACCGGCUGGUUCAACAUCGUCGGACAGUGGGCUGCUACCACGAGCACGGACUUCUCCCUGGCGCAGCUGGUCCAGGUGAUCAUCUUGCUCGGCACCGGCGGGGCCACCGGCGGCGGGUACACGGCCUCCAAGUACGUCGUGCUGGCCAUCCACGGCUUCUUCCUCGUCCUGCACGGCCUCAUCAACAGCCUCCCCAUCCGCUGGCUGUCCUGGUGCGGCAAGCUCGGCGCGUUCUGGAACACGGCGGGCGCGUUCACGCUGGUGAUCCUCAUCCCGGCGGUGGCCAAGGAGCGGGCGAGCGCCAAGUUCAUCUUCACGCACUUCAACGACGACAACGGCAUGGGGAUCCACGGCAAGGCCUACAUUCUCGCCCUCGGCCUCCUCACCAGCCAGUACUCUCUGCUCGGCUACGACGCCUCCGCUCACAUGAUUGAAGAGACGAAGAACGCGGACUGGAGCGGGCCGAUGGGGAUCAUCAGCUCGGUGGCCCUGUCGACCACGUUCGGGUGGAUCUUCCUGGUGGCGCUGACGUCGAUCGUGACGGACAUCCCGUACCUGCUCAGCCCGGACAACGACGCCGGGGGCUACGCCGUCGCCCAGGCCCUGUACGCCGCCUUCGACAGGAGGUACGGCAGCGGCGUGGGAGGGCUGGUCUGCGUCGGGGUAGUCGCCGUCGGCAUCUUCUUCGCCGGCGCCAUGUGCAUCGCCAGCAACUCGAGGAUGGGGUACGCCUUCUCGAGGGACAGGGCGAUGCCGCUCUCGCGCGUGUGGCUCCGCGUCAGCAAGAACGAGGUGCCCCUCAACGUCGUCUGGCUCUCCGUCGUCGUCGCCUUCGUCAUGGCCCUCACGUCGCUGGGGAGUCAGGUGGCGUUCCAGGCGAUGGUGUCGAUCGCGACGCUGGGGCAGUACAUCGCCUACGCGCUGCCCAUCUUCUUCCGGGUGACGACGGCGAGGAGGUCGUUCGUGCCGGGGCCGUUCCACCUCGGGAGAUACGGGGUCGCCGUCGGCUGGGCCGCCGUCCUCUGGGUGGCGUUCCUCACCGUGCUCUUCUCGUUGCCGGUGGCGUACCCGGUGGCCAAGGACAACUUCAACUACACGCCGGUGGCCGUCGGCGGCGUGCUGCUGCUCAGCGUCGGCGCAUGGGUGGUCAACGCCAGGUUCUGGUUCCAGGGGCCCAUCACCAAUGUCGACUUGUAGCUAGGGACCAAACAAGUCACGUGUAUCAUAGCUUCUCGUUUGGAACUUUGGAUUGUACAGUGUAUCUGUGGGUGUCGCUUCUCGUUUGAAACUUCGUUUCUUGUUUGAUACUCCACGUACUGCCAAAUCCACAAACGUAACCAAGAGGUCUGGGAAAAAAUCUACAAAAAAAAUGAUGAGAUGGGUACAACAUGUGUAAAUUAUAUCACCAAAUAUGAAAGACAUAGCUAUGAAUAGUAAUUAGUUCAAAGUGGGCCGCAAAAAAGUAAUUAGUUCAAAU
This 2284-nucleotide ribosomal RNA is filed under the name Triticum aestivum (bread wheat). RNAcentral's name for it is "partial small subunit ribosomal RNA". Lineage: Eukaryota; Viridiplantae; Streptophyta; Magnoliopsida; Poales; Poaceae. The record is from RNAcentral.